RNAcentral lists this ribosomal RNA (253 nucleotides) under uncultured bacterium. Its description in RNAcentral is "partial 16S ribosomal RNA". It matches the Rfam family "Bacterial small subunit ribosomal RNA", at positions 524 to 776 of the family's 1533-position model. The record is from RNAcentral.
GACGAACCGUGCGAACGUUGUUCGGAAUCACUGGGCUUAAAGGGCGCGUAGGCGGGCUCGCCAGUCAGGGGUGAAAUCCCGCGGCUCAACCGUGGAAGUGCCUCUGAUACUGCGAGUCUCGAGGGAGGUAGGGGCGUGCGGAACUUCCGGUGGAGCGGUGAAAUGCGCAGAUAUCGGGAGGAACACCGGUGGCGAAGGCGGUUCUCUGGGCCUGUACUGACGCUGAGGAGCGAAAGCGUGGGGAGCGAACAGG